RNAcentral lists this transfer RNA (72 nucleotides) under Camelus dromedarius (Arabian camel). It matches the Rfam family "tRNA". Rfam says of the family: Transfer RNA (tRNA) molecules are approximately 80 nucleotides in length. Their secondary structure includes four short double-helical elements and three loops (D, anti-codon, and T loops). Lineage: Eukaryota; Metazoa; Chordata; Mammalia; Artiodactyla; Camelidae. The record is from Rfam by way of RNAcentral. RNAcentral also lists the same sequence under 1 other name.
UGGGUUAUGGCUCAGCGGCCGAGUGCCUGCUUAGCAUGCGCGAGGUCCUGGGUUCAAUUCCUAGUACUCCAU